RNAcentral lists this ribosomal RNA (253 nucleotides) under uncultured bacterium. RNAcentral describes it as "partial 16S ribosomal RNA". It matches the Rfam family "Bacterial small subunit ribosomal RNA", at positions 524 to 776 of the family's 1533-position model. The record is from RNAcentral.
UACGAAGGGGGCUAGCGUUGCUCGGAAUCACUGGGCGUAAAGGGCGCGUAGGCGGCCAAGUAAGUUGGGGGUGAAAGCCCGUGGCUCAACCACGGAAUUGCCUUCGAUACUGCUUGGCUUGAGACCGGAAGAGGUGAGUGGAACUGCGAGUGUAGAGGUGAAAUUCGUAGAUAUUCGCAAGAACACCAGUGGCGAAGGCGGCUCACUGGUCCGGAUCUGACGCUGAGGUGCGAAAGCGUGGGGAGCAAACAGG